GGGUUUUCCUUUUUUUCCCCGCCCGGGACGGUGCGCCCAGCCGGGGAGCUCGCACAGGGGACUUUGGCAAAUACUGUUUUCAAAGGAGGAGGCAGGGAGCUGGCACAGCGAAACGUGUAGGAGGUAUUAAGAGCUUAGGGCGGGGUUUGCUUGAGGACAUAAAAAAGGGGGAAAAAAACAGGAUAAAGGUGCUAGUAAAGUUUGCAGCGAAAGAAAGAUCAGAAAGGUUUUUUAAAAAAGUCAUUACAGACUCUUGGAAAUGUUUUUUCCAUAGGAAGACAGCACUGUGAAUAAAAAUGACACUAAAUGUUGCAGGAGGCGCAGACUCGCAAAGGGUAACGGCUGGGACCGCUGCGACAGACGUAGCACUGAGGCGCUCCUGCUAUUUUUAGAGAUGAACACGCAAUUAAUCAAAACGCAGGUUUCCGAACUUUCAGUGACGGGAAAUGGCUCCUUCCGACUCACAGUGGAUGUCUUCCCUGCCUUCUGCAUAUGAAUUUUUGUUUUCAUUCAGAAUAGGCAAGUGACCUGUAUUGCUGCACAGAUUUUUUGAAACCAAAUAACAUUUUAUAUUUUUACCAAAAUACCUGUGGAGCUGACAGAGCAUGAUGCAUUCAUUUUCCUUGAUUUUGUAGUGAGGGAAAAGGCUAGCAUGAAUAAUUCAAAAAUAAUGCUGAGACUGUUAAGAUUUAGUACUGGAGAGGUCAUCACAGUUGGGAGAAUGAGCUAGGAGACUAUUACUAUUCCACGAUCUUUGAAUCUCAAGGUGACAUCAUUAUUAUUUCUCUAUAUCUAUAAUGUGGUGCUGCAACCAACUUAUUGCAGUGUUUCUCAUGUAGGGUAGAAAGAUCAAUUACAUACAGACCUCAAAAUGUGAACUAUAAGCAUAGUGUCCAAUAAAACUGUCAUUAACAGUCACCACAAUUUUAACUGUAUGCUUCCAGGUCAAGCUGUUUUAAAAAUGAUAACUGACAUUGAAAGGUUGAAUAAAGAGCACUCGUUCUAAAGGGAACAGUUUUUCACCCAAAUAAGUUUUCAUUAACAAAUCUGCUAAUUCUUUUCUUGAGUUUACAGAAGCAUUCAAUAUUGCACUUAUUCGUUUCAUUGUUUCUGUUAAGCAUAUUCACAGACAACCCUGAAAAAUCGUAAGUUUUCCACAUGAUCAGCAUCAACAGUAGUAUUGUCGAAUGCAGAUAAAGCAUCCCUGUGCAAUUUGAUUUAAUUUAUUCCUGCCUUCGACAGGAAACUGAAAGAUAUUACUGAAAUGGAAGUUGUAUUAGAGCAGCGGUUGGUGCAUUACUUUAACUAUUACCUCGCCUUUCGAUGUGCUGUUACCGUCAUGCCUGUGGAAGCAUACAGUAUCCAAAAUAAACAAAUCACGAAUAUGCAAAAGUAACGUAUGCCAGGAAACAGCCGCUCGUACUUCAGAAGUCCCUCUCCAUUGGAUAAGCGCCGCCUUGUAUGUUUAAUUAAACACUCGUUUCCCGUGGAGAAUAUUCCUCAAGACUGUCACUUCUCCAAUAAACACUUCUCCUACUUG
Molecule: long non-coding RNA, 1540 nt
Organism: Dromaius novaehollandiae (emu)
Lineage: Eukaryota; Metazoa; Chordata; Aves; Casuariiformes; Dromaiidae
Exons: 3
Source: RefSeq, a predicted model, not a curated record